RNAcentral lists this long non-coding RNA (1351 nucleotides) under Sus scrofa (pig). RNAcentral describes it as "lncRNA (ENSSSCG00070013378.1)". Lineage: Eukaryota; Metazoa; Chordata; Mammalia; Artiodactyla; Suidae. The record is from RNAcentral.
AUGUGUCCGUUCUUUCCCCUUAGAGGCUGUCAUCACCCCUGGAGCAGCGCGUCCCUGUUGCCCGCAUCCUCUCCAGCAUUUGGCGGCGUCUGUGCUCUGGACUGCAGCCCUUCUAGAAGGUCUCCGGUUUCUACCUCGGGACUCAGAGAACUCUCCGGAACAUGUUCCCGACCCUCGACCCUCGACCCUCAACCCUGGGGGAUUGCUCCAGACGACCCUCUGCUGGACCUGACGCCCGCCGCCCGCCGGCUGUCCUUACAAGCACGGUCAAGAAUACGCCGUCCUUUCACGUGGCCUUUAGGUAAGUUUCCCUCACGUUAUUUUUUAACGUUGUCAUUAAUUUAUUUUUAAAAUGUAUUACAGUUCGUUUACAAUGUUCUGUCAGUGUCUUCGGUCCAGCAUCCUUCACGUUAUUAACUCCAGUCCCCUAAGACGUGCACGUUACCCUCAGUGCCGUCUAAACAUUUCCACGAGGUCAUCCCAGCCCUGCCAACAAGAGUGACCCAACCCGAAAACACCAGCAGUGGGGUUCUUCUGACCUCAGUGGUUUAUCUGUUCACUUCAACAACACUUGGCUUUCACUUGACUCAAAGCACUUGUCGUCAGCAAGGGACACCCGAUCUGCCUCUUCCCACGGAGCUCCACGAGCCUGCUGUGCCCCACACGGUCUGCACCACCGGCUGGCUCCAUUGUGCGGACGCCAGGGGCACAGCUGCCCUACACACACACACACACACACACACACAGAGCCUGGGUGUGCAGGACACUGGUUAGGGAUUUGCAAACAAUUAAAGUUAUCUCCACUCUCACUGCUCACAUCUGCAUGGAAGAAAAUUACACAAAACCCUCCAAAAUGAGGUUCACACAAGCCGAUGUCAUAUCUCCCAGGAGGGGCGGCUAAGAUAAGCCUUCACACCCACCAACCCCAGCCCCAUUCUCAGGGACGCUGCAGCUGGAACGUUUGUCCGAGCUUCAUCUUUGACGCUUAGCAGAGUCUAAAAGCCCACACGUUAGCCAGAGUUGCGGCAGGCAGUCAUGGCUUUGCUGUCCCCUUGCUGAGACCGAGGACACGGUCCUACCAGCAUGGUGCCACCCCUGCUCACUGCGAGGGGUGUCAGCGCACACCCCAGCUAAGAGGCAGUCCUGGUUCCCCAAAGCGACCUGACGGGAUUCCUCGUCUAGGCUCCUGAGUUCGAGGCUCAUUUUUGAGGAUGCAGUUUUCCUCUUUCUCAUAACUGCCUUUGUUCCCGCUGGCUGCCGUGUCCUGUGCAGGACCUUACAUGCCCAUGGGCAGCUACUGUCACAUCAAAGGGUCCGGCAGGUCUCUGGGAACAGGAGAGAUGAACCCAGU